RNAcentral lists this ribosomal RNA (481 nucleotides) under uncultured bacterium. Its description in RNAcentral is "bacterial SSU rRNA". It matches the Rfam family "Bacterial small subunit ribosomal RNA", at positions 26 to 507 of the family's 1533-position model. The record is from RNAcentral.
AGAUUGAACGCUGGCGGAAUGCUUUACACAUGCAAGUCGAACGGUAGAGGGGGCAACCCCUCGAGAGUGGCGAACGGGUGAGUAAUGUAUCGGAACGUGCCCAGUCGUGGGGGAUAACGUAGUGAAAAUUACGCUAAUACCGCAUACGAUCUAUGGAUGAAAGCGGGGGAUCGCAAGACCUCGCGCGAUUGGAGCGGCCGAUAUCAGAUUAGGUAGUUGGUGGGGUAAAGGCUCACCAAGCCAACGAUCUGUAGCUGGUCUGAGAGGACGACCAGCCACACUGGAACUGAGACACGGUCCAGACUCCUACGGGAGGCAGCAGUGGGGAAUUUUGGACAAUGGACGCAAGUCUGAUCCAGCCAUUCCGCGUGCAGGAUGAAGGCCCUCGGGUUGUAAAGCUCUUUUGUCAGGGAAGAAACAGCAGCUCUAACACAGUCUGCGAAUGACGGUACCUGAAGAAUAAGCACCGGCUAACUACGUG